RNAcentral lists this long non-coding RNA (3056 nucleotides) under Physcomitrium patens. RNAcentral describes it as "long non-coding RNA (PPAT_LNC010152)". The record is from RNAcentral. Lineage: Eukaryota; Viridiplantae; Streptophyta; Bryopsida; Funariales; Funariaceae.
GGGUUGACGCGGAGUGUGGGGUGUGAUUUGAAAUCCACAGUGGUCUACAAGGAUCUGCGACUUGUCGAGUCUUCGGCGAGUGAGUGAGUUAUGCUCUGCCUUUAUUUUCCCGAAACGGGUUGUGAAAGAAGUGCCGCGACACCGGUGGGAACUGUCGUCAGAGUUGUUCGGUGAAGGCCUCUCGCUUACUGGGAGAAUUAGGGUUUCGUGGGGGUUGGGCGGAGUUCACGACACCCCCCCCCCCCUCUGGAGGAUGGGGAGGGAGGGGAGGGAGCGCGUUUCGGUGCGCCUCCGGUGCUGUGGACUCUUGUUGCAGGAAUGGCGGGGGCUGGUUUUUUAGGCUGGGAGCGUGGAGAGAUCGAAUUGAGCAGUUUUUUUCUUUUUCUUUUUCUUUUUCUCUGUUAAAAAAUAAUUUUGCUGCUCCGAAUGUGGUGGUGGGAACAGUGGCGAGUGUGUGUUGGAUUUAGUCUGUUUUUUUUUUUGAGCAGUGGCUGGAGGUGUCAGUUCUGGUGUUUGCCACCGAAGCAGCACUUGCCUUCUUUGGCCCUUCCUGGGUUUCAUGCGUGCUUGUUGACCCCACCAGGUUUCUCUUUGACUCACUCAAGAUUUUGAGACUUCUUUGGGUGGGAAAUUAGACAGGAGGCGAAAAGCGAGGGAGAAAGGAAAGGCGAAAGCCAUACGUACAAGCAAACUUUGUGGUGACAUUCUCUUUUCCCAACGCUAAGCAUUUUAGAACCAAAUUGUGGAGCACGGUAAGGGGGAGAAGCAGAAAGACACGUUCUCUGACACUCACAUGAAUUACCGGACCCUCAUGAAUUUUCUGGCGAUAUCAGAUUUGUUUGAUGAGAUGGGUUUCACGCAGAGUUAUGAGAAAUUCUGUGUGACGAGAUUUUGAAAGUGACAUGCAAUCCAUGUGUGAGCUUCCUUUUAGGGCUGCUGGGUUGAUUCUUAUAAUUCUGCUUGCUCGUUGUGCUUAAAGCGACUUCGAUCGACGAAGCUGUGAAACACAGGGUUUGGGUGUGCGAGAGGUAAUUGUGGCCAAUCUAAUCUUAGGGUGCUAGCAGCGAACUGACGUUGUAAGCAUCCAAUUUUGGUACAAGUGACGCGGGCUUCUGCAGCUCGCUUCUUCUACACUGCCAACUCGGUUCGAUGUUCUAAUUCGUGUAAAAGUUGUUUUGAAUUAUGUUUGAAGGGAGGCUGGGCUUGUCAGUCGGGUGCGAUGUUGCCGUACCGUGUCGUAGCUCUCCUUGCAACUAGAAAAGCUUUAAAAGGUAAUAAAUAGAAGGCUCUUUCAUGAAAGGAUUAGCAAUAAGACACUAAUCUUGUCAUGAAAAGACUUGUAUCAAAUAUCAAUUGAAAUACCAAUUCAAGCUGUUCAAGUUUCUUCUAUUUCGUGGGUUGAUUGUUGGCUGUAACCAGUACAUUCAUAUUGACAGGCUUUUGGCCUAACGCUUCGUUAACUCUUUCUGUUACAAUGACUUGAGAAUUGGUUUUAAUGGUUUUGUGCACGUGCAGAUUAGAUGUGUGUAUGUGAAUGUGUACGUAUAUAUAUAUAUAUAUAUAUAUAUGUUAGAGAUCAUUGGUUCUUAACGUGUCCAAAUUCAGGCGAUUUCCAAAUAAGUUUGUUUGUAAAAGAGGGUGAAUCAAGCUUCUAACCCAUUUAUUCAAACAUAUGAAUUAAAAUGUAUCAAUAUCAGUCUCGAGGAAAAUAGAAUGAUGCAAAACAUGUUUACUUGAAAACUGAAGUUCGUACAGAAAUCUAGCUUAACCAAGUUCUUAAUUCUCUAUUAAAAUUAUUAAUUACUUUUCUCCACACCAUGUUUCAGGUUUGUGUAACAGUUUCGUUAACCAAAAAUAAUUUAGUAAACAUCAUAAAAUUUCAAGAGCAGCCCAUGGAUUCUUUAACAAAGUCCACAUUGAAAUCCUCAGACAAAUCUUCAAUGCGAAAACAUCACUUGGCUGAAUGGUUGAGCAGGAUACGAAAUAAGCACACAUGAAUGCUGCUCAAGUGGUCAAGGAAACCAACCAGAUGAGAUAUGUAACAUUUAUAUUUCCAAGACAUUUACAGAAAAUUAGAUAUUGAACGUUGCCAAAACGUUCAGCACUUCGUUCAGAAGGUAUAUAAAAAAUAUAAGUAAAUUUUCAAAAAAUAAAACCCAAGUACCGUCUUUUAUAACCAUAAGAACUACUUUAAGCCUCCCUCAUAAAACGAUGCUACAAGGUAAAGGACAUAGAAAGACCUUGUCAGAUUCUCCACUACUUCCCGGCUACAGAUUGCCACUUCAACUAAAACUGAACAUAAAGUUACGCAUCAUCAAUAGUAUCCACAAGAUUGAUAUUGAUGUUCCAAAGCCCUGCCCUAAGCAAAAGCAUAUAAGAGGCUUCAAAAACUUUGCCUCUAAUCUACCCUACAAGCUCGAAUGAAGUGCAAUCACAAAAAUCAAGAUUUUCCAUUUUUUCUAAUUUUUACUUUUUUGGUUUCAGAUAAGGGAAGAAACUGAAACUACAGCUAGACUGGCUUAUUCAAAAUGCCAGCGCAGGUGGUGCAACAUUAACUUACACAAGCUGGCCCAGUAACAUUGGCGAAGAAUUUGUACGAGAGCUGCCAGUCGCUGUUUCAUGAGAUGAAUACUCGAGCCUCGCGGUCAUUAUUUGACCAUGGUGGGAAAGGGGGAUAUAGAUACACACUAAUGUUACAGCCCAAAGUCACGACUCAGCGACGAGUCGGUGUACUAUGAGAGGUGAAAUAAUUGAAGUCUGAAUGCAGAUGUUGAACACGCAAAUCCUUGAGAUGGUCGUCGGCCUUCCUCUGCAACAUUGCUACUUGUCGCCUCUCGGAACUUGAAGACCAGACAGCACCUCUGAGCUUGUACGAUGCCAGCCCAAAUGCACGAAGCGGUAGAGGUUCCAGAGGAGGGACAUUUUGAGCUACACACACACCCUCGCGACGCGGUGACCUCAUGGAAGCAUCUGCAAAAUAUAACACGCGGAAGAGUUAGAUCACCAGGACGGUAGACACAGAUUAUCAGCACUAAGUCCUCUCUAACAUUCCUCAA